Molecule: ribosomal RNA, 1803 nt
Filed under: Triticum aestivum (bread wheat)
Lineage: Eukaryota; Viridiplantae; Streptophyta; Magnoliopsida; Poales; Poaceae
Description: partial small subunit ribosomal RNA
Source: RNAcentral
AUGUCGGGGGCCAAGCCAUUUCCCCGAAAGAUGACACGGGCUAGCUCAUGGGACGAUGAUUCCCCAUACAUAUAUGGUGCCGGCUAUGGGGUGACCUACUCGAAAGAUCCUAAUGUGACUAUCAUGUAUACACCCGCAGUGCUGAAUUACACAGCGCCACUUGAUGUCUAUACUACAGCUCGGUCGAUGGGGCCAGAUCCACAGCUCAACCUCAACUACAACCUUACAUGGAUUUUGCCGGUUGAUGCCGGAUUCGUGUACCUCCUAAGGUUCCAUUUCUGUGAGAUUCAGUCUAUUUUUACCUUGGAAAAUCAGAGGACUUUCUACAUCUACAUCAACAACCAGACAGCGUGUGAUGCCAUGGAUGUAAUCUUCUGGAGCGGAGGAAUUGGUAGACCAAUAUACAAAGACUAUGUUAUGGUGGCUAGUGGUUCCGGUCAGGUGGACAUGUGGAUUGCACUGCACCCUUAUAUUUCAAGUAGAUCACAAUAUUAUGAUGCAAUACUGAAUGGUCUUGAGGUCUUUAAGCUGCAGGGUCACGGAUCGAACAAUCUUGCUGAGCUCAAUCCUCCAAUUCCACAAAAGCCUGAUGUGGAUCGUAAUAGGCUGUCUAGCGGUGUAGGAAAAUCCAAAGGUGACAUACUAGCAGCCAUCGGUGGCGGAUUUGCUUUGAUGUUGAUUGUUCUUUUCAGUAUGUGUGUUAUCUGCAGACGGAAGAAGGUCGUGAAGAUUUCUUGCAAAACCAGCUAUGCACAUCGGAAUCGUCCCACAUGUGAUCUUGUCCAUCACUUCUCAUUUGAAGAAAUUCAACUUGCCACCAAAGAUUUUGAUGAAGCACAUAUCAUCGGCAGAGGUGGUUUUGGGAACGUCUACAGCGGUGAGAUAGAUGGAGGGACAAAGGUGGCGAUCAAGCGACUCAACCAGGAAUCCCAACAAGGCAUUCAUGAGUUCCAGACUGAACUCGAGAUGUUGUGCCAUUUCCGCCAUGGCCACCUUGUAUCUUUGAUUGGCUACUGCAGGGACAAGAAUGAGAUGAUUCUGGUCUAUGACUACAUGCCUCAUGGAACACUGCGUGAGCAUCUGUACGGCACCAGAAACCCAUCACUAUCAUGGAAGCAGCGCCUUAAUAUUUGCAUCGGUGCAGCCCGAGGGCUGCAUUACCUCCACACUGGUACAGAGCAAGGAAUCAUCCACCGCGACGUUAAGACCACCAACAUCCUACUGGAUGAUAGGUUAAUGGCGAAAGUUUCUGACUUUGGUCUAUCUAGGGCAUGUACAGACAUUGACAAUGCGCAUGUGAGCACCGCAGUGAAGGGCUCCUUUGGAUAUUUUGAUCCGGAAUACUUCCUGCUGCGACGUCUCACCAAAAAAUCAGAUGUGUACUCCUUCGGGGUCGUGUUGUUGGAGAUUCUGUGUGCACGCCCUGUGAUAAACACUGAGCUCCCGGACGAGCAAGUGAGCUUGCGUGACUGGGCGCUAUCUUGCCAAGAAAAAGGUGUACUCGAGAAGAUUAUUGACCCCUGUGUUAAGGAGGAGAUCACCCCAAAAUGCCUCAGGAUAUUUGCCGAGCUAGCGGAGAAAUGUGUUGCUCAUCGUAGCAUCGAUAGGCCAUCAAUGGGUGAUGUACUCCAGAAUCUGGAGGUCGCACUCAGGGUGCAGGACAGUAACAACUAUGCCAGGGGGCCAUCGUCUCUUCAGAUCAUCAGUCUAGUGAACUCAUACAAAUCAUCAACCCACUCAAUAACUGACAUCGCUGCACAGGGAGACAUAUUUUCAGAUAUUUUACAUUCGGAAGGCCGAUAA